Molecule: ribosomal RNA, 440 nt
Filed under: uncultured bacterium
Lineage: Bacteria
Description: partial 16S ribosomal RNA
Rfam family: Bacterial small subunit ribosomal RNA
Source: RNAcentral
CCUACGGGAGGCAGCAGUGGGGGAUAUUGCACAAUGGGGGGAACCCUGAUGCAGCGACGCCGCGUGGGUGAAGAAGCGCCUCGGCGCGUAAAGCCCUGGCAGCAGGGAAGAAAAUGACGGUACCUGAAGAAGAAGCCCCGGCUAACUACGUGACAGCAGCCGCGGGAAUACGUAGGGGGCAAGCGGUAUCCGGAUGUACUGGGUGUAAAGGGGGCGCAGACGGCGAUGCAAGCCAGGAGUGAAAGCCCGGGGCCCAACCCCGGGACUGCUCUUGGAACUGCGUGGCUGGAGUGCAGGAGGGGCAGGCGGAAUUCCUGGUGUAGCGGUGAAAUGCGUAGAUAUCAGGAGGAACACCGGUGGCGAAGGCGGCCUGCUGGACUGCAACUGACGUUGAGGCCCGAAAGCGUGGGGAGCAAACAGGAUUAGAUACCCGUGUAGUC